RNAcentral lists this ribosomal RNA (406 nucleotides) under uncultured bacterium. RNAcentral's name for it is "partial 16S ribosomal RNA". It matches the Rfam family "Bacterial small subunit ribosomal RNA", at positions 28 to 526 of the family's 1533-position model. The record is from RNAcentral.
GAUGAACGCUGGCGGCGUGCCUAAUACAUGCAAGUCGAACGAGUGGCGGACGGGUGAGUAAUGUCUGGGAAACUGCCCGAUGGAGGGGGAUAACUACUGGAAACGGUAGCUAAUACCGCAUACCAUCGGAUGUGCCCAGAGGGGAUUAGCUAGUAGGUGGGGUAACGGCUCACCUAGGCGACGAUCCCUAGCUGGUCUGAGAGGAUGACCAGCCACACUGAAACUGAGGCACGGUCCAGACUCCUACGGGAGGGAGCAGUGGGGAGGAUUGCACAAUGGGCGCGAACCUGAUGGAGCCAUGCCGCGUGGAUGAAGGAGGCCUUCGGGUUGUAAAGUACUUUCAGCGGGGAGGCGUUAACCGCAGAAGAAGCACCGGCUAACUCCGUGCCAGCAGCCGCGGUAAUAC